This is a long non-coding RNA of Malaya genurostris, 389 nucleotides long. RefSeq lists it as uncharacterized. The record is from RefSeq and is a predicted model, not a curated record. The transcript is spliced from 2 exons. NCBI's taxonomy places the organism in Eukaryota, Metazoa, Arthropoda, Insecta, Diptera, Culicidae.
UGUCCUCGAUAGUGACGGUUGAGUUUUGAGGCGUCGGUAUGGCUGGAUUUGUAUCGUACGAUGAGCCCGGGUUGAAGAUUUUAGUGCUGUAAAAUAAAAAUGAAUUAUGAUUACAAUACGAACACAAUGACUUCUCAAAAUAUCUGGUAUCUUAUCAGGCGAUCCACGAAAAUGCAAUCCAAAGACUGGUAAAACAUUCAGAUCGGUACAUUUACGUCAUUAAACAAUAUAUCAGCUGUUUUUCAAAGAAGGACGAAUCUUACAAAAGUAAACAAAUCGAGUUUCUCUCUCCUACCAAUAAAUGCUUCAAAAUCCUACAAUUUUGUCUAAAAAUUCGUAUUCUACAAAAAUCUCGAUCUUAGUAAUACAAAGAACUAUAAAUGGCGAAA